This 253-nucleotide ribosomal RNA is filed under the name uncultured bacterium. Its description in RNAcentral is "partial 16S ribosomal RNA". It matches the Rfam family "Bacterial small subunit ribosomal RNA", at positions 524 to 776 of the family's 1533-position model. The record is from RNAcentral.
UACAGAGGUGGCAAGCGUUGUUCGGAAUUACUGGGCGUAAAGGGCGCGUAGGCGGUUCGUUAAGUCCUGUGUGAAAUCCCCCGGCUCAACUGGGGAGCUGCACAGGAAACUAGCGGGCUUGAGUUCGGGAGAGGGAAGCGGAAUUCCGGGUGUAGCAGUGAAAUGCGUAGAUAUCCGGAGGAACACCGGUGGCGAAGGCGGCUUCCUGGACCGACACUGACGCUGAGGAGCGAAAGCGUGGGGAGCGAACAGG